RNAcentral lists this ribosomal RNA (253 nucleotides) under uncultured prokaryote. RNAcentral's name for it is "partial 16S ribosomal RNA". It matches the Rfam family "Bacterial small subunit ribosomal RNA", at positions 524 to 776 of the family's 1533-position model. The record is from RNAcentral.
UACGGAGGUGGCAAGCGUUGUUCGGAAUUACUGGGCGUAAAGGGCGCGUAGGCGGCAAGGCAAGUCAGGUGUGAAAGCCCCGGGCUUAACUCGGGAAUUGCAUCUGAAACUGCUGUGCUUGAGUUCUGGAGGGGGUAGUGGAAUUCCCAGUGUAGCGGUGAAAUGCGUAGAUAUUGGGAAGAACACCAGUGGCGAAGGCGGCUAACUGGUCCAGUACUGACGCUGAGGUGCGAAAGCGUGGGGAGCAAACAGG